This 109-nucleotide small RNA is filed under the name Paenibacillus sp. RNAcentral's name for it is "Guanidine-I sequence". It matches the Rfam family "Guanidine-I riboswitch aptamer". From Rfam's summary of the family: This family represents a conserved RNA structure found upstream of the ykkC and yxkD genes in Bacillus subtilis and related genes in other bacteria. Lineage: Bacteria; Bacillati; Bacillota; Bacilli; Caryophanales; Paenibacillaceae. The record is from RNAcentral.
AAACUUGUUUUCUAGGGUUCCGCGAUAGAAUGAAGGCUAUCGGUCAGGUCCAAGAGAAGACACACGAUGAGCUUCAUCGUGCACACGGAGGGAUAAAAGCCCGGGAGGA